GACGAACGCUGGCGGCGUGCCUAAUACAUGCGAGUUGAGCGAUGAAGAUUGGUGCUUGCACCAAUUUGAAGAGCAGCGAACGGGUGAGUAACGCGUGGGGAAUCUGCCUUUGAGCGGGGGACAACAUUUGGAAACGAAUGCUAAUACCGCAUAACAACUUUAAACAUAAGUUUUAAGUUUGAAAGAUGCAAUUGCAUCACUCAAAGAUGAUCCCGCGUUGUAUUAGCUAGUGGGUGAGGUAAAGGCUCACCAAGGCGAUGAUACAUAGCCGACCUGAGAGGGUGAUCGGCCACAUUGGGACUGAGACACGACCCAAACUCCUACGGGAGGCAGCAGUAGGGAAUCUUCGGCAAUGGACGAAAGUCUGACCGAGCAACGCCGCGUGAGUGAAGAAGGUUUUCGGAUCGUAAAACUCGGUUGGUAGAGAAGAACGUUGGUGAGAGUGGAAAGCUCAUCAAGUGACGGUAACUACCCAGAAAGGGACGGCUAACUACGUG
RNAcentral lists this ribosomal RNA (497 nucleotides) under uncultured bacterium. RNAcentral's name for it is "partial 16S ribosomal RNA". It matches the Rfam family "Bacterial small subunit ribosomal RNA", at positions 28 to 507 of the family's 1533-position model. The record is from RNAcentral.